This 72-nucleotide transfer RNA is filed under the name Camelus bactrianus (Bactrian camel). It matches the Rfam family "tRNA". Rfam says of the family: Transfer RNA (tRNA) molecules are approximately 80 nucleotides in length. Their secondary structure includes four short double-helical elements and three loops (D, anti-codon, and T loops). Lineage: Eukaryota; Metazoa; Chordata; Mammalia; Artiodactyla; Camelidae. RNAcentral also lists the same sequence under 2 other names. The record is from Rfam by way of RNAcentral.
GUGGGUGUAUCUCAGUGAUGGAGCACAUGCUUGGCAUGCACGAGGUCCUGGGUUCAAUCUCCAGUACCUCCA